RNAcentral lists this unclassified non-coding RNA (2344 nucleotides) under Hevea brasiliensis (rubber tree). The record is from RNAcentral. Lineage: Eukaryota; Viridiplantae; Streptophyta; Magnoliopsida; Malpighiales; Euphorbiaceae.
GGGACUCGUGCCAAGCAACGUGUCACCUCUUACUAGAGUAACCAGAAGGAUCUUCAACUUUGACUCUCUGUGCACUCAAUAAAGGACCCAAUCAUGAAGUCCAUAAACAACCAACAGAGCAAGCUGAAAUGCGUUUGGCCCAAGACAUGUUGAACACCAACAUCAUUGUGCUUUGGGUAUUGCAUUGCUUUCCCUCAGCAAAAAUCCAUCUUUAAUGCAAAGGAAAUUGACAUGUAACUCUCAAACAUUUGAAAUACAAGGAGAGUAUCAAACUUUACUAGUAGCAGAGGAGCAACAGAAUUAUGUCAUUGUAUGGAAAUGGAUACAGGUUUGUUCCAACAGCAGAGUAAACCAUAAAUUGGAUUCAUUCUAUUCCCAUAAAUCUCAAAAAUCGUCAGAAACAAUGCUGUAGCCUAAAUGUAGCGUUGUAAUUUACCAGUAUGAGUAGACAUGUUAGAUGCCUCUCCAUUACUCUUACAUGCGCCAUCUUGCACCAAAGCACCUAGUUCUGAACUUGAAUACUUUCAUCCUAACAAGCCAUGCCUGUGUUCUGCAAAUCCAAGUGAUUAAAGCUUACUCUAAAAGUGACAUGCCUGUUUUGAGGGCGUUUAACCAGCUGUGAAUGUAGUAGACAUGCCCCAUCUUGCAAAUGCAGCUGUGCAUUCAUAUUUUCAUCAAAAGAACACAUCCACCUCUAAUUCCCAUUAAGAGCAUCAAUAUUGUUUUGACCAGGCAAUUAUACCACCAUGGCGUGUUUUCCAUGAUUAGACACCCUCAAUUAUUAUUCUAUCACUAUGAAUUGUCACUGUUUAAUUCCUUGUUGAAGAUCUUCACCACUGUUGAUAUCAUUUGAGGCCUUCUCAGAAAGCAUUCUCUUCAUUUUCUUUUUCAAAGCCUUAUCAAAGUCAGAAUAUGAUAAUGAUAACACCUGGUUCAACAGCAGUUUGACUCCAGACACCUUCACUAGUGCAUACCUAGGUUUUAUCCUCUCUUCCAAACUGUAGCCAAAAUAUUGAGGGAAUUUAACAAGCUCUUCUUUUGAAUAAUCCAUGGUCAAAAAGAAUUCCCACUUUGGUAUCAAGUUCUCUACCAAGCUAAAAGUAUAUAAUGCUCCAUAUCUUGUAAUCAUAGUCCCAACUUCCUGUAUACUGUACCCCCUUCCAAAGAAAAAUUCUGUCACAGGCUUCAAAUUGGAUUCAAUACUGAGGCCAAAAGUCUGUGGACAUCGGUGGAGAAGAACAGCAACAUCAACUCCCAAUGAACGGAAAUAUUCAGCCGUUGGCCGUAGUUUGUCCUCCACACUGUAACUUAUAAUGUUUGGGCAACGUGUUAGAAUCUUACCAAUGCUCUCUGCCGAGAGACCCAUCUCACAAAGGAAAUCUACAGUCACUUCAACCUUUUGCCUGCUAUAAGUAAGAAGUGCUGGAAAACGGUAUAUAACUUUAGCCCAUUUUCUCUUAUCCACGCCCAAAUUUUCUAAGAAUGUCAUAGUGGGUAUGAGAUUUUCAGAGAGACUGAUUCCACAAAGUUGAGGCCUUUUGACAAGGAUGGUUGGAAGGUCUGAUUUAGGUACACCAAGAUCAAGAAGGAACUCAACUAAUGGCUUAAUUUUUCCCUCCAAGCUGUAGUAAGCAAAAGCAGGGAAUCUCCGCGUGAUUCCCUUGAUCUGUUCAAGAUUCAUGCCAAGGUCUAUAAGAUACAGAGUACGAGGGGGAAGCUUCCCAGCAGGGCCUGUCUCACUUACUCUAGACAAAGCUUUCAGCUUCUUGGAAUCAAGUGUUAUAUGGGGUGGAGAUAGAGGUUGAACUGGUUUUCCUUUAAUAGAUGGGUUAGGAAAGUUCUCCACAAAAUCUACCAGAACACUUCUGUGGUCUUCAAGGAGAGAUUCUAGGUAUGGAAUAAGAGCAUCCCUUAUUUCUAGAGUUGUGAGCUCUCGUCUAGAUACCGAGAUUUAUGAACUGAAUGAAGCUUUGAGACAAGGUGGUCAAUGAACAGGUCCGACUUUUUGAUAGUUCUAGCAGCAACUGCAUUGCUUAAACCUUGUUUCUUCAAGAACAAGGUUAAGACAGCCUUGGCUUCUUCUUUUUCUGCUGCCACUAGGGUUGGAGGCACUACUCUUGAGCUGAAUGAUCCGUCUACCCCAGAAUCAGCUUUUAUAGCAUUGAAAGAAAUUGGUCAAUGCUAUAAAGAGAAAAAGAACCAGGCUGAUAUUAACAAAUAACAACUUUGGCUCUGGUAUGGAACUUAAACUAGCACUACAAGGAAUCCUAUAUGAAAAUUUAAAUUAACUCUUACCAAACUUAGCUUGGCAAGAGAAGAAUUUCCUCGGAAGAGAAAGUUGAGU